AAUAGUAUGCUUGAAAAAAGAUCGUCGUGAUAGGGCGGGUCAUGAAAGUCAAGCCUUUCUACUAUUA
This 67-nucleotide transfer RNA is filed under the name Hymenocera picta. Its description in RNAcentral is "tRNA-Ile". The record is from RNAcentral. Lineage: Eukaryota; Metazoa; Arthropoda; Malacostraca; Decapoda; Palaemonidae.